CCUACGGGUGGCUGCAGUUGGGAAUAUUGGACAAUGGGCGCAAGCCUGACCCAGCAACGCCGCGUGAAGGAAGAAGGCUUUCGGGUUGUAAACUUCUUUUAUCAGGGACGAAGCAAGUGACGGUACCUGAUGAAUAAGUCACGGCUAACUACGUGCCAGCAGCCGCGGUAAUACGUAGGUGGCAAGCGUUAUCCGGAUUUACUGGGUGUAAAGGGCGUGUAGGCGGGAAAGCAAGUCAGAUGUGAAAACCAUGGGCUUAACCUGUGGCAUGCAUUUGAUACUGUUGUACUUGAGUACUGGAGAGGCAGACGGAAUUCCUAGUGUAGCGGUGAAAUGCGUAGAUAUUAGGAGGAACACCAGUGGCGAAGGCGGUCUGCUGGACAGCAACUGACGCUGAGGCGCGAAAGCGUGGGGAGCAAACAGGAUUAGAUACCCUGGUAGUC
RNAcentral lists this ribosomal RNA (443 nucleotides) under uncultured bacterium. RNAcentral's name for it is "partial 16S ribosomal RNA". It matches the Rfam family "Bacterial small subunit ribosomal RNA", at positions 338 to 795 of the family's 1533-position model. The record is from RNAcentral.